RNAcentral lists this ribosomal RNA (721 nucleotides) under Rhodococcus qingshengii. Its description in RNAcentral is "bacterial SSU rRNA". It matches the Rfam family "Bacterial small subunit ribosomal RNA", at positions 53 to 793 of the family's 1533-position model. The record is from RNAcentral. Lineage: Bacteria; Bacillati; Actinomycetota; Actinomycetes; Mycobacteriales; Nocardiaceae.
CCAUGCAGUCGAGCGGUAGGCCUUUCGGGGUACACGAGCGGCGAACGGGUGAGUAACACGUGGGUGAUCUGCCCUGCACUUCGGGAUAAGCCUGGGAAACUGGGUCUAAUACCGGAUAUGACCUCCUAUCGCAUGGUGGGUGGUGGAAAGAUUUAUCGGUGCAGGAUGGGCCCGCGGCCUAUCAGCUUGUUGGUGGGGUAAUGGCCUACCAAGGCGACGACGGGUAGCCGACCUGAGAGGGUGACCGGCCACACUGGGACUGAGACACGGCCCAGACUCCUACGGGAGGCAGCAGUGGGGAAUAUUGCACAAUGGGCGAAAGCCUGAUGCAGCGACGCCGCGUGAGGGAUGACGGCCUUCGGGUUGUAAACCUCUUUCAGCAGGGACGAAGCGCAAGUGACGGUACCUGCAGAAGAAGCACCGGCUAACUACGUGCCAGCAGCCGCGGUAAUACGUAGGGUGCAAGCGUUGUCCGGAAUUACUGGGCGUAAAGAGUUCGUAGGCGGUUUGUCGCGUCGUUUGUGAAAACCAGCAGCUCAACUGCUGGCUUGCAGGCGAUACGGGCAGACUUGAGUACUGCAGGGGAGACUGGAAUUCCUGGUGUAGCGGUGAAAUGCGCAGAUAUCAGGAGGAACACCGGUGGCGAAGGCGGGUCUCUGGGCAGUAACUGACGCUGAGGAACGAAAGCGUGGGUAGCGAACAGGAUUAGAUACCCUGGUAG